GGGAAGUUGGCUCAGUGGUAGAGUGCUUGCCUUGCAUGCAUGAGGCCCUGGGCUCGAUUCCUCAGCAUCACA
Molecule: non-coding RNA, 72 nt
Organism: Dipodomys ordii (Ord's kangaroo rat)
Lineage: Eukaryota; Metazoa; Chordata; Mammalia; Rodentia; Heteromyidae
Source: Rfam